This 253-nucleotide ribosomal RNA is filed under the name uncultured bacterium. RNAcentral describes it as "partial 16S ribosomal RNA". It matches the Rfam family "Bacterial small subunit ribosomal RNA", at positions 524 to 776 of the family's 1533-position model. The record is from RNAcentral.
UACGGGGGGGGCAAGCGUUGUUCGGAAUUACUGGGCGUAAAGGGCUCGUAGGCGGCCAACUAAGUCAUACGUGAAAUCCCUCGGCUUAACCGGGGAACUGCGUCUGAUACUGGAAGGCUUGAAUCCGGGAGAGGGAUGUGGAAUUCCAGGUGUAGCGGUGAAAUGCGUAGAUAUCUGGAGGAACACCGGUGGCGAAGGCGGCAUCCUGGACCGGCAUUGACGCUGAGGCGCGAAAGCCAGGGGAGCAAACGGG